UGAAUACGAGAUGCUACGGCGUCGAAGCAGUCUAUGUCAUACUUCCAAGAAAAGCUCGCACUGUCAUAAACAAAUAAUGCCUGUACCAUAACCGACACAGGUGGGUAGGUAGAGUAUACUAAGGGGCGCGAGAUAACUCUCUCUAAGGAACUCGGCAAAAUGUCUCCGUAACUUCGGGAGAAGGAGUGCCUUAUUUAUAAGGUUGCAAUAACAAGAUCCAAGCAACUGUUUAUCAAAAACACAGGUCUCCGCUAAGUCGUAAGACGAUGUAUGGGGGCUGACGCCUGCCCAGUGCCAGAAGGUUAAAGAAGUUGGUUAGCAUUCGCGAAGCUGAUAACUGAAGCCCUGGUGAACGGCGGCCGUAACUAUAACGGUCCUAAGGUAGCGAAAUUCCUUGUCGGGUAAGUUCCGACCCGCACGAAAGGCGUAAUGAUUUGGAUACUGUCUCGGAGAGGGGCUCGGUGAAAUAGACUUGUCUGUGAAGAUGCGGACUACCUGCACCAGGACAGAAAGACCCUAUGAAGCUUUACUGUAACUUGAGAUUGAAAUUGGACUUUACUUGCGCAGUAUAGGUGGGAGGCGUUGAUAAUAUUCUUGCGGGAUUAUUUGAGCCACCAGUGAGAUACCACUCUUGUAAUGUUAGAUUUCUAACUUUGUAUCAUUAUCUGGUCAAAGGACAGUUUCAGGCGGGCAGUUUGACUGGGGCGGUCGCCUCCUAAACGGUAACGGAGGCGCACAAAGGUUUCCUCUGAACGGGUAGAAAUCGUAUCUAGAGUGUAAAGGCAUAAGGAAGCUUGACUGUGAGACCUACAAGUCGAGCAGGGACGAAAGUCGGUCUUAGUGAUCUGACGGUGCUGAGUGGAAAGGCCGUCACUCAACGGAUAAAAGUUACUCUAGGAUAACAGGCUGAUCUCCCCCAAGAGUUCACAUCGACGGGGAGGUUUGGCACCUCGAUGUCGGCUCAUCGCAUCCUGGGGCGGUAGUACGUCCCAAGGGUUGGGCUGUUCGCCCAUGAAAGCGGUACGCGAGCUGGGUUCAGAACGUCGUGAGACAGUUCGGUCCAUAUCCGGUGUAGGCGUUAGAAUAUUGAGAGGAGCCUUCUUUAGUACGAGAGGACCGAGAAGGACAUACCUCUGGUGUACCAGUUAUCGUGCCAACGGUAAACGCUGGGUAGCUAUGUAUGGAGUGGAUAACCGCUGAAAGCAUCUAAGUGGGAAGCCCACCUCAAGAUAAG
This 1234-nucleotide ribosomal RNA is filed under the name metagenome. RNAcentral's name for it is "bacterial LSU rRNA". It matches the Rfam family "Bacterial large subunit ribosomal RNA", at positions 1564 to 2808 of the family's 2925-position model. The record is from RNAcentral.